CUUGUCGGAAGAGAAGCCCAAGGUAAGCCCGGAGGGUGUGAAGACAAAGUGAACAUAUCAACCUGAAAGUGGCGGGGCAGGAUUGCUCAGUGGUACAGUUCAAGAUCAAGAGGCACACCCCACUGAGCAAGCUCAUGAAGGCCUACUGUGAGAGGCAGGGCUUGUGAAUGAGGCAGAUUCGAUUCCGGUUUGAUGGACAGCCAAUAAAUAAAACAGACACUCCAGCCCAGCUGGAGAUGGAGGAUGGGGACAUCAUUGAAGUAUUCCAGCAGCAGACAGG
RNAcentral lists this long non-coding RNA (280 nucleotides) under Mus musculus (house mouse). Its description in RNAcentral is "long non-coding RNA chrX:153783339-153783619". Lineage: Eukaryota; Metazoa; Chordata; Mammalia; Rodentia; Muridae. The record is from RNAcentral.